UAUAUUGUCAGAUAUUUUGCAUUAAUAUGUUAUUUAUUUUGCAGAAGAAAAAGGAAGUUUCUGUAUUCUGUACACCAUUUGCUAAGUCUAUACCAAGGGACUGAAUACUCAGUCUAAACAGACAAAUGACUUAAGAAGAAAAGUAUCAACACAGAAUCAGGGAGGGAGAAAGAAGUAAACAUUGAAAGGAAAAAUUUAUGUAUCUGUCACACGAGGGUAUGUUCCUCAAUUCUUUUUCUCGUUACAACAAACAUUUGGAGUGACGGACAUUUAAAGCUCCCUCGGUGAGUCACAGCUC
RNAcentral lists this long non-coding RNA (298 nucleotides) under Capra hircus (goat). RNAcentral's name for it is "lncRNA (ENSCHIG00000007876.1)". The record is from RNAcentral. Lineage: Eukaryota; Metazoa; Chordata; Mammalia; Artiodactyla; Bovidae.